This 433-nucleotide ribosomal RNA is filed under the name uncultured bacterium. RNAcentral's name for it is "partial 16S ribosomal RNA". It matches the Rfam family "Bacterial small subunit ribosomal RNA", at positions 29 to 507 of the family's 1533-position model. The record is from RNAcentral.
AACGAACGCUGGCGGCAUGCCUAACACAUGCAAGUCGAACGAGACCUUCGGGUCUAGUGGCGCACGGGUGCGUAACGCGUGGGAACCUGCCCUUAGGUUCGGAAUAACUCCCCGAAAGGGGUUCUAAUACCGGAUAAUGUCUUCGGACCAAAGAUUUAUCGCCUUUGGAUGGGCCCGCGUUGGAUUAGCUAGUUGGUAGGGUAAAAGCCUACCAAGUCGACGAUCCAGAGCUGGUCUGAGAGGAUGAUCAGCCACACUGGGACUGAGACACGGCCCAGACUCCUACGGGAGGCAGCAGUGGGGAAUAUUGGACUAGGGGCGAGAGCCUGAUCCAGCAAUGCCGCGUGAGUGAUGAAGGCCUUAGGGUUGUAAAUCUCUUUUACCCGGGAUGAUAAUGACAGUACCGGGAGAAUAAGCUCCGGCUAACUCCGUG